CCAAGUCGGCAGCGCUGUUGUACCAUCUGACGUCAUUUGUUCGUAAACAGGGAGACGUCUGUUAUCAGCUCUCUAAACUGAAGAUGCAACAAUAACCAUUUGCCAACUGCAUUCAGUGUCCAGAUAUGAAUGUGUUCGGCUAUGGCUGCUGACCUCGCCAUCUCGUGAACUAUGGGUCGACAGAGAAGUGAUAGGAAGGAACAACGAGGCCUUGUUAGAACUCGGGAUCAGGCAGACCAGUUGGAAGAGCGGCAACCUUGAGAAGAUCAGGUUCAAGCGGGAUUGAAAGAUAAUGAAGUUCUUGGUUCGCCAGUUAGUGCGAUGUGUUUUUGUCCGUCUUUUUAGCUUCCCGGCACUGGGGGGUUUUUAACGCUUGUAAUCGCGAUUAUUUUUAUAGACUUUGUUCUCCUUUCUGAUAAUAAAGUGCCACAGUCCAGAAUGCUGCUAGGCUGUCUGGGA
Long non-coding RNA from Ornithodoros turicata, 459 nucleotides. RefSeq lists it as uncharacterized. The transcript is spliced from 3 exons. The record is from RefSeq and is a predicted model, not a curated record. Lineage: Eukaryota; Metazoa; Arthropoda; Arachnida; Ixodida; Argasidae.